GACGAACGCUGGCGGCGUGCUUAACACAUGCAAGUCGAACGGAAAGGCCCUGCUUUUGUGGGGUGCUCGAGUGGCGAACGGGUGAGUAACACGUGAGUAACCUGCCCUUGACUUUGGGAUAACUUCAGGAAACUGGGGCUAAUACCGGAUAGGAGCUCCUGCUGCAUGGUGGGGGUUGGAAAGUUUCGGCGGUUGGGGAUGGACUCGCGGCUUAUCAGCUUGUUGGUGGGGUAGUGGCUUACCAAGGCUUUGACGGGUAGCCGGCCUGAGAGGGUGACCGGCCACAAUGGGACUGAGAUACGGCCCAGACUCCUACGGGAGGCAGCAGUGGAGAAUAUUGCACAAUGGGCGGAAGCCUGAGGCAGCAACGCCGCGUGCGGGAUGACGGCCUUCGGGUUGUAAACCGCUUUCGCCUGUGACGAAGCGUGAGUGACGGUAAUGGGUAAAGAAGCACCGGCUAACUACGUG
Molecule: ribosomal RNA, 468 nt
Filed under: uncultured bacterium
Lineage: Bacteria
Description: partial 16S ribosomal RNA
Rfam family: Bacterial small subunit ribosomal RNA
Source: RNAcentral